Molecule: ribosomal RNA, 409 nt
Filed under: uncultured Nitrososphaerota archaeon
Lineage: Archaea; Thermoproteati; Nitrososphaerota
Description: bacterial SSU rRNA
Rfam family: Archaeal small subunit ribosomal RNA
Source: RNAcentral
CUGGUGUCAGCCGCCGCGGUAAUACCAGCACCCCGAGUGGUCGGGACGAUUAUUGGGCCUAAAGCAUCCGUAGCCGGCCUUACAAGUCCUCCGUUAAAUCCAGCUGCUUAACAGAUGGGCUGCGGAGGAUACUAUAAGACUAGGAGGCAGGAGAGGCAAGCGGUACUCAGUGGGUAGGGGUAAAAUCCGUUGAUCCAUUGAAGACCACCAGUGGCGAAGGCGGCUUGCCAGAAUGCGCUCGACGGUGAGGGAUGAAAGCUGGGGGAGCAAACCGGAUUAGAUACCCGGGAAGUCCCAGCUGUAAACGAUGCAGACUCGGUGAUGGACUAGCUUUAUGCUGGUCCAGUGCCGCAGGGAAGCCGUUAAGUCUGCCGCCUGGGUAGUACGGUCGCAAGACUGAAACUUAAAG